UACGUAGGGGGCAAGCGUUAUCCGGAAUUACUGGGUGUAAAGGGUGAGUAGGCGGCAUGGUAAGCCAGAUGUGAAAGCCUUGGGCCUAACCCGAGGAUUGCAUUUGGAACUAUCAAGCUAGAGUACAGGAGAGGAAAGCGGAAUUCCUAGUGUAGCGGUGAAAUGCGUAGAUAUUAGGAAGAACACCAGUGGCGAAGGCGGCUUUCUGGACUGAAACUGACGCUGAGGCACGAAAGCGUGGGGAGCGAACAGG
Molecule: ribosomal RNA, 253 nt
Filed under: uncultured bacterium
Lineage: Bacteria
Description: partial 16S ribosomal RNA
Rfam family: Bacterial small subunit ribosomal RNA
Source: RNAcentral